RNAcentral lists this long non-coding RNA (241 nucleotides) under Chinchilla lanigera (long-tailed chinchilla). RNAcentral describes it as "lncRNA (ENSCLAG00000022861.1)". The record is from RNAcentral. Lineage: Eukaryota; Metazoa; Chordata; Mammalia; Rodentia; Chinchillidae.
GGUGAACACAAAGGAAAAAUUAGAGGUGACUCAUUCUAUUGAGUUAAAAAGCAAUGGAUUUUUGACUAAAACCUUUGCAGCAGUCAGAAGUAGAAGAGCAACAAAGGGACCAAAGGCAUUAGAACUGGCUGAGAAAGGAGGACAUCAACAAAAUAAACUCCUGCAAAUGGAAACGAUGUCUGAGAUCAACUCUGUCCAGAAACAUGAGGCUAAUUUUCACCCUUCCAUCUGCAGCAUAUGA